UGAUCUCUUAAUUACUGCUUAACCCUACAACUGUGAAUAAGAAGUCGAUUUUCCCCCUUAAUUAUAUUUAUUAGUUUUUUCCUAGAAUAACGGAAACAAAUCAGGAAUUGACUUGUUCUCAUUAAAUGUAAUUAUUUAGUGUAAUUAUCUAUAUAGCAUUGUAACCUCACUAUAUAUAUAAGAAAUAACAAUGAGAAAG
Molecule: long non-coding RNA, 199 nt
Filed under: Lathyrus oleraceus (garden pea)
Lineage: Eukaryota; Viridiplantae; Streptophyta; Magnoliopsida; Fabales; Fabaceae
Description: Pisum sativum (pea) long non-coding RNA (PSAT_LNC004119)
Source: RNAcentral